RNAcentral lists this ribosomal RNA (499 nucleotides) under uncultured bacterium. RNAcentral's name for it is "bacterial SSU rRNA". It matches the Rfam family "Bacterial small subunit ribosomal RNA", at positions 29 to 518 of the family's 1533-position model. The record is from RNAcentral.
AACGAACGCUGGCGGCGCGCCUAACACAUGCAAGUCGAACGAGAAUCCGGGGCAACCCGGUAGUAAAGUGGCAAACGGGUGAGGAAUACAUGGGUAACCUACCCUUGAGAAGGGAAUAACCCGCCGAAAGGUGAGCUAAUACCCUAUACGCUAUCUUUUUUUCGAAAAGGAUAGGAAAGCCGGGUCGAGGACCUGGUACUCAAGGAGGGGCUCAUGUCCUAUCAGCUUGUUGGUGGGGUAACGGCCUACCAAGGCUACGACGGGUAGCUGGUCUGAGAGGAUGAUCAGCCACACUGGCACUGAGAUACGGGCCAGACUCCUACGGGAGGCAGCAGUGGGGAAUAUUGCGCAAUGGGCGAAAGCCUGACGCAGCCACGCCGCGUGAGCGAUGAAGGCCUCGGUCGUAAGACUCUGUGGGAGAGAAGAUAAAGACUGUGAGAGACAGGCCUUGACGGUAGUCUCCUUAGCAAGCACCGGCUAACUCGUCGCCAGCAGCCGC